UGCCAGCAGCCGCGGUAAUACGGGGGGAGCAAGCGUUGUUCGGAUUCAUUGGGCGUAAAGGGCGCGUAGGCGGUUUGGCAAGUCUGACGUGAAAUGUACCGGUUCAACCGGGGCGCUGUGUCAGAAACUGCCUUACUUGAGGUCGAGGGAGGAGAGUGGAAUUCCUGGUGUAGCGGUGAAAUGCGUAGAUAUCAGGAGGAACACCCGUGGCGAAGGCAGCACUCUGGGCCGGUACUGACGCUGAGGAGCGAAAGCGUGGGGAGCGAACAGGAUUAGAUA
This 279-nucleotide ribosomal RNA is filed under the name uncultured bacterium. RNAcentral describes it as "partial 16S ribosomal RNA". It matches the Rfam family "Bacterial small subunit ribosomal RNA", at positions 506 to 784 of the family's 1533-position model. The record is from RNAcentral.